RNAcentral lists this non-coding RNA (28 nucleotides) under Mus musculus (house mouse). The record is from RNAcentral. Lineage: Eukaryota; Metazoa; Chordata; Mammalia; Rodentia; Muridae.
UGGAGACAAUGAACAGGGGGCUGUUGUA